AUACUUACAUAAUUCUACUUUUCCUCCCUUAUUAGCCCAAAGUAACAUGGUACAAAAACAAAAUGGACAUCUCAAAUGAAGCCAAGUACAGGAUGAUCAGUAAGCAAGGUGUCCUGACGCUGGAGAUCCGUAAGCCCUGUCCAUUUGAUGGGGGGGUGUAUACGUGCAAAGCAGUCAACGACAGCGGUGAAGACACAGUGGAGUGUAAACUGGAGGUUCGCCCUCAAAUUACUAGAGAAGAUAAGAAGGAGCCCAAGAAGGAAAAAAUUCAAGAAGCCAACUGAAGAGAAGAUGGCAUCUCAGAGUUCAGCUCCACAUCCUUUUUAUGUUUAUGUGCUGCUUUCCUCUCCUGCAGUCAUCUCACAUCAUGUUAUCCUCACUGUUAUAUUAGUGUCAUGUAAACCACUGGAUGACAGAAGUGAAUGGGGCUCACUGAAUUUGCUGUUCCUUUAUUUUCAUUUUGCUAUAAGUAUUUAAUAUUAAUUAUCCCAAACAAUGAUCUUUAUUUCAGUCCAGUUCUUGGUAUUGAUAACAGAGAUAACAGUGUUUAGUAAAUAGUAUCAAUAUUUAGGAAACUACUUUCUGAUUUGCUGCUUGUCUGGGCUGAUUUGUGUGCAUAAAAAUUACUUGAAAACAGAA
Molecule: long non-coding RNA, 639 nt
Organism: Pundamilia nyererei
Lineage: Eukaryota; Metazoa; Chordata; Actinopteri; Cichliformes; Cichlidae
Exons: 2
Source: RefSeq, a predicted model, not a curated record